This 269-nucleotide long non-coding RNA is filed under the name Glycine max (soybean). RNAcentral describes it as "long non-coding RNA (GMAX_LNC000324)". Lineage: Eukaryota; Viridiplantae; Streptophyta; Magnoliopsida; Fabales; Fabaceae. The record is from RNAcentral.
ACCAUGGCAAUUCAUUGGUUAAAUAGAAUAUUGAUUAAAUAAAUUCCAUUGGAUCUGUAAAAUUUUCAUUUUUGAUUCCCUCAACAAAGCACUACAUGUACAAUUUGUGGUUAUUUUGGCAUAUGAUUUUAAUGAGCGACUUUGGCAUAUAUAUUUUAUCAUGCAAUAUACAAUGAGCAACUUUUGCACAUGAUGUUAUACAAAUAGUAGCUUUAACGAUCGAACAACAAUUUAUGGUUAGGUUCAGUACAGAAAAUUUGAAAACAUUU